GACGAACGCUGGCGGCGCGCUUAACACAUGCAAGUCGAGCGAUGAAAUUUCGACAGAUCCCUUCGGGGUGAAGAUGAAAUGGAUUAGCGGCGGACGGGUGAGUAACACGUGAGUAACCUGCCUUUGACAUUGGGAUAGCCUCGGGAAACUGGGAUUAAUACCAAAUGACACUAACUGAUCACAUGACCAAUUAGUCAAAGAAAUUCGGUCAAAGAUGGACUCGCGGCUGAUUAGCUAGUUGGUGAGGUAACGGCCCACCAAGGCGACGAUCAGUAGCCGGCCUGAGAGGGUGAUCGGCCACAUUGGAACUGAGACACGGUCCAAACUCCUACGGGAGGCAGCAGUGGGGAAUAUUGCACAAUGGGGGAAACCCUGAUGCAGCGACGCCGCGUGAGCGAAGAAGGCCUUCGGGUCGUAAAGCUCUUUUAUGAGGGAAGAUAAUGACGGUACCUCAAGAAAAAGCCCCGGCUAACUACGUG
This 479-nucleotide ribosomal RNA is filed under the name uncultured bacterium. RNAcentral's name for it is "partial 16S ribosomal RNA". It matches the Rfam family "Bacterial small subunit ribosomal RNA", at positions 28 to 507 of the family's 1533-position model. The record is from RNAcentral.